UCUGGGCUACAGCAACUAUAGGGCUCGUGCUUCCCGACUGCUGGGCUAUAAUCUAUGAAACUGAGCCCAGAUCCAGCCAAUCAGUUCACUCCUCAUAACAAGUCUAACUGGCUCUGGAAAGCUGAAAGGGCUGCACUGGAGCAGCGUAGAUGAGAUAUUCCACACAAUGAUCUGCUUAUCUAGAAUCACUUUGCCUGGAAAGGCCAGAGAAAAAUUACUUUGUCUAAGGAAAGAAGGACAGGUAAUCUGGUAAAACUGCCACCAGACCUGGAGCAAGAUCCUCUGGCUUGGCAGUCCCAGUGCUGCUGGCGUUAAAGGACCCGAGGCACCCCAGAAACCAAAGGGCAACCACCACGGCAGCAAUACACCAAGAUAAUUGACUGAAUUCAACUUGAGGUUUGACACCAGGAAGAAAAAUAACGAUAUACAGAGAACAGAAAAAAAUAAUCCUUUGGAACUUUCCUCCCAGGUGUUGCUGCCUAUGGUGACCACGUGAGAAUGGAAACGCUGAGAAAGUUGGGCUCUUAGCAUUGUCGUCCCUUUUAUUCAAAGAUAAUAUUGAUUAUUUAGUCUAAAAUAGUAAAGAAGUCCUUAAGAUAAUACUGGCAUUGAAUUCUCAAUAUCAAACUCCCUGCUUUUCACCCCCUCAAUAAAAUUCCAUUAAAAUCCCCCUAACUCUCAAGUUCAAAUCUCCAUUUGCCAAGAAUGCUCUAAACUGAGGCAUGUAAGUCAUGUCACACAUAUUCUCAUCCAGAAAAAAACUCAUCACCUAAAACUUCAAAGAAAAUUGUCUUGUUGUCCACGACAAUGGCCAUCAACUAUAGGGCGAGUCUUGGAACUGAGUUUCCACAACUUUUGAACAUUCACUGUGUCAACAUAUAACUGUGUUGCCAACUGACCCCUGGCUCCUUGGCCCUUAAAAACACCAAAAGCUCUGUUUAACUCAACUUUAAACUGUUCAUCUAUUAGGAAUGUUCACCCCAAAACACAUUCAUGAGAGCUUUCUAAAAAAACCAGCACUGCCUUCCCCUCUUAGAAUCAUAAUGAUCACAAAAAUCUGAGAUAAGUGCCUGUAACUUGGCAUUUUCCUGGGGAUUUAAAUAUCAAGUUCCUGGCACUAUGUCAUGGGGGCAGGAGGCUGGGACUUACACAGAAACAACAAAA
Long non-coding RNA from Sciurus carolinensis (gray squirrel), 1164 nucleotides. RefSeq lists it as uncharacterized. The record is from RefSeq and is a predicted model, not a curated record. Lineage: Eukaryota; Metazoa; Chordata; Mammalia; Rodentia; Sciuridae. The transcript has 3 exons.